This is a long non-coding RNA of Clarias gariepinus (North African catfish), 902 nucleotides long. RefSeq lists it as uncharacterized. The record is from RefSeq and is a predicted model, not a curated record. Lineage: Eukaryota; Metazoa; Chordata; Actinopteri; Siluriformes; Clariidae. The transcript has 4 exons.
GAAAUACCACUUCCGGUCUAAGUACCAACGAAGAAGCGCCUGCAUUGUUUUGUUUUCGGCUAAGGAAACCGAAGCUGCUAAGAUCCAGCGGUCGUGCGUCUUAAAAUUCUCGUUUUAAGGGUCGAUUCGUUUGUAUAAAUAUAUUUCCAACGAUACAGAACAACUUUUUUUUUUACAUUUAUAUAUAUUUAUUUUUAUUAACAUCGUAUUUUCGUAGUUGCUUUGUUUUAUUUACAAAGCUAACCUGUAAGCGGCUAGUACGCCUGGAUUAGCAUUCUUCUGUUUUUUGUGCACUUAGCUCCAUGAGGAAUAUCUCCCCGGAAAUCUGCACUCUCAGUAUUUUAAAUACUUUUAUCGAGUUUAACGCGUCUUUUAACGACUUGGAGGUCGUUUUACAGCGGGUUUUUCUGAUAUAACGCAGCGAUUGUCAGGAUGGUCUGUGAGCUGCUGCUGUCUUCGGUCUGGCUGCUGUUUGUGGUUUUCUGGGUGGAGACGAUCAGCGUGUGGCUCUUCCUCUGUCUCUUUUAUCAGGACCGAGCUUUUUAUCACUGGGGUGACGGGGUGUUUGCUGAUGAUCCUGGUCAGAUGCUCUACAUGCUGAGCAGGUCAGAUAGCUCCGUUCACACCCAGACCUGAGCUGGCGGCCUGUCGUCAGCUGGGAACGCCAAUUAACCAAAGAACUGGGGAGGAAAAAAUGGCUUCCCGAUCCGACAGCUGCCGCCUUUUGACGACCUGCGCCACGGCUAGCGACGGAGAAUUAGCGCAGGGCACGCGUCUGUGCGCAGAUUCUGCAUGGGUUGUUAUAAAGGGGACUUCUCUCUUUGUUUCCUCCGAAAGGAGAUUUCUUUACUUCUUAAAAAAAAAUAAAAAUUAUUAAAGGGGGGCAGCUCGGUGUAGUGAAG